UUUAAGUGCAACAAUAAAUUUCCACGCUUAACUUUUAGUCCGUAUUAUUUUUAUAAUUAGUAUUUUUAUUAUUAUGAUAUGAUAAAUUAUGAAUAGUACUUUAUACGUGACUUAUGCUUUUAAUAUUUUUAAAAAGUUUUUCAAAUAGGAUGGAUGGAUAAAGUUGUGCAUGGAAAAUCAUGGCUGCACUUAAA
Non-coding RNA from Oryza nivara, 194 nucleotides. The record is from Rfam. Lineage: Eukaryota; Viridiplantae; Streptophyta; Magnoliopsida; Poales; Poaceae.